CCCCAGUAACGGCGAGUGAAGCGGCAACAGCUCAAAUUUGAAAUCUGGCCCCCCCCGGGGGGGCCCGAGUUGUAAUUUGCAGAGGAUGCUUUGGGCGAGGCGCCUUCCGAGUUCCCUGGAACGGGACGCCACAGAGGGUGAGAGCCCCGUCUGGUCGGACGCCGAGCCUCUGUAAAGCUCCUUCGACGAGUCGAGUAGUUUGGGAAUGCUGCUCAAAAUGGGAGGUAUAUGUCUUCUAAAGCUAAAUACCGGCCAGAGACCGAUAGCGCACAAGUAGAGUGAUCGAAAGAUGAAAAGCACCUUGAAAAGGGGGUUAAACAGUACGUGAAAUUGUUGAAAGGGAAGCGCUCGUGACCAGACUUGGGGCGGGCGGAUCAGCCGGCGUUCUCGCCGGCGCACUCCGCCCGUCCCAGGCCAGCAUCAGUUCGCGCCGGGGGACAAAGGCGGCGGGAACGUGGCUCCCCAGGGAGUGUUAUAGCCCGCCGCGCCAUGCCCCGGGGGCGGACUGAGGGCCGCGCAUCACUGCAAGGAUGCUGGCGUAAUGGUCACCAGCGACCCGUCUUGAAACACGGGCCAAGGAGUCGUCCUCGUAUGCGAGUGUUCGGGUGUCAAACCCCUACGCGGAAUGAAAGUGAACGUGGGUGAGAGCUUCGGCGCAUCAUCGACCGAUCCUGAUGUUCUCGGAUGGAUUUGAGUAGGAGCAUACGGGGCCGGACCCGAAAGAAGGUGAACUAUGCCUGUGUAGGGUGAAGCCAGAGGAAACUCUGGUGGAGGCUCGCAGCGGUUCUGACGUGCAAAUCGAUCGUCAAACAUGGGCAUGGGGGCGAAAGACU
RNAcentral lists this ribosomal RNA (833 nucleotides) under Aschersonia sp. JZQ-2014a. RNAcentral's name for it is "eukaryotic LSU rRNA". It matches the Rfam family "Eukaryotic large subunit ribosomal RNA", at positions 78 to 932 of the family's 3401-position model. The record is from RNAcentral. Lineage: Eukaryota; Fungi; Ascomycota; Sordariomycetes; Hypocreales; Clavicipitaceae.